Molecule: long non-coding RNA, 667 nt
Filed under: Gossypium raimondii (Peruvian cotton)
Lineage: Eukaryota; Viridiplantae; Streptophyta; Magnoliopsida; Malvales; Malvaceae
Description: long non-coding RNA (GRAI_LNC003881)
Source: RNAcentral
GCACAUGGUGACUGUUCUGUUGGUUCAUCAUCAAUGGAAAAGAAGGAUUCAAGGUCAUCUUCUUCUCUGAUCUUAAUUCUUGAUUCUUACUGGAUUUACUGGAUCAUCUUAGACCCCUUUUUUGUUGUUUGGGCAAUUUUUUACAAAAUGACCAUUUUGAUUACAGAUGUAACACCUAUUUGAUUUGGUUCCCCUUGGAGAUAUCUUUUUCUUUAAAUAUCUCUAUUUUUUUUCCUUUUGAAAGAUCUUGGAAGAUUAAGGUUUUUGAAUCUCCUGAAAUGUUUUUUUUCUUUUUUAUCCUACAAUAGUAAUGCUUUUCAUGUCCACAUUUGAUUCGUAGGUAAGAAUCAUAACAGGCUUUGUCCAACCGCUUGUCACCAUGGAGAUAGUAUUUGAAAACCUUUUUCCUGUUGCAUAAGUCUUCAAGAGUAACAUAAGUUUCUUGUUGGAUUUCUCCCAUUGUCAGGCUGAGGAUGUUUCUGUUUUGCCUGUGGAGACUUUGAUUGAUAGCAACUUAAAGAGGCUCUGGUAUGGAUGCGAGAACUGCAGGUUUAAGACUUUUCUUUAGAUCAAGUGAACAAAAAAGUUUGGUCAUAGCGUGGAAAUGCUUAGAUAAGACUUUCUUGUUGUAAGAGUAGUAUUUUCGUUUCAAGAAUUCACUUCUUUU